This 363-nucleotide ribosomal RNA is filed under the name uncultured eukaryote. RNAcentral's name for it is "partial 18S ribosomal RNA". It matches the Rfam family "Eukaryotic small subunit ribosomal RNA", at positions 592 to 976 of the family's 1831-position model. The record is from RNAcentral.
CAAUAGCAUAUAUUAACGUUGUUGCAGUUGAAAAGCUCGUAGUUGAACUUUUGGUAGGAGCGACCUGGCCUUGGGCGCAUGCCCUUGUUUGCCGUGUGUCGUGUCUGGCCAUCCUUUUCUUCGUUUUUCGGAGGAAUCUUUUACUGUGAGUAAACUGGAGUGCUCAAAACAAGACGUUUGUUUGGUACAUUAAAGCAUGGAAUAAUAAGAUAGGACCUGGUUACUAUUUUGUUGGUUUGCAUAGCUAGGUAAUGAUUAACAGGGACAGUUGGGGGUAUUCGUAUUUAAUUGUCAGAGGUGAAAUUCUUGGAUUUAUGAAAGACGAACGACUGCGAAAGCAUUUACCAAGGAUGUUUUCAUUGA